This 1475-nucleotide ribosomal RNA is filed under the name Candidatus Pelagibacter sp. RNAcentral describes it as "bacterial SSU rRNA". It matches the Rfam family "Bacterial small subunit ribosomal RNA". Lineage: Bacteria; Pseudomonadati; Pseudomonadota; Alphaproteobacteria; Candidatus Pelagibacterales; Candidatus Pelagibacteraceae. The record is from RNAcentral.
AAACUUGAGAGUUUGAUCAUGGCUCAGAACGUACGCUGGCGGCACGCCUAACACAUGCAAGUCGAACGAAGUAGCAAUACUUAGUGGCAGACGGGUGAGUAACAUGUGGGUAUCUGCCCUUUGGCCUGGAAUAACACGAGGAAACUUGUGCUAAUACCGGAUAAGUCUUUACGGAGAAAGCUUUAUGCACCAUUGGAUGAGCCCGCACUUGAUUAGUUUGUUGGUAGGGUAAUGGCCUACCAAGACUAUGAUCAAUAGCUGAUUUGAGAGGAUGAUCAGCCACAUUGGGACUGAGACACGGCCCAAACUCCUACGGGAGGCAGCAGUGGGGAAUCUUGCACAAUGGAGGAAACUCUGAUGCAGCGAUGCCGCGUGAGUGAAGAAGGCCUUUGGGUUGUAAAGCUCUUUCGUCGGGGAAGAAAAUGACUGUACCCGAAUAAGAAGGUCCGGCUAACUUCGUGCCAGCAGCCGCGGUAAUACGAAGGGACCUAGCGUAGUUCGGAAUUACUGGGCUUAAAGAGUUCGUAGGUGGUUAAAAAAGUUGGUGGUGAAAUCCCAGAGCUUAACUCUGGAACUGCCAUCAAAACUUUUUAGCUAGAGUAUGAUAGAGGAAAGCAGAAUUUCUAGUGUAGAGGUGAAAUUCGUAGAUAUUAGAAAGAAUACCGAUUGCGAAGGCAGCUUUCUGGAUCAUUACUGACACUGAGGAACGAAAGCAUGGGUAGCGAAGAGGAUUAGAUACCCUCGUAGUCCAUGCCGUAAACGAUGUGUGUUAGACGUUGGAAAUUUAUUUUCAGUGUCGCAGCGAAAGCGAUAAACACACCGCCUGGGGAGUACGACCGCAAGGUUAAAACUCAAAUGAAUUGACGGGGACCCGCACAAGUAGUGGAGCAUGUGGUUUAAUUCGAAGAUACGCGCAGAACCUUACCAACACUUGACAUGUUCGUCGCGACUCUAAGAGAUUAGAGUUUUCGGUUCGGCCGGACGAAACACAGGUGCUGCAUGGCUGUCGUCAGCUCGUGUCGUGAGAUGUUGGGUUAAGUCCCGCAACGAGCGCAACCCUCACUUUUAGUUGCCAUCAUUAAGUUGGGCACUCUGAAAGAACUGCCAGUGAUAAGCUGGAGGAAGGUGGGGAUGACGUCAAGUCCUCAUGGCCCUUACGUGUUGGGCUACACACGUGCUACAAUGGUAUCUACAACAGGAAGCAAAACAGCAAUGUUAAGCAAAUCCCGAAAAGAUACCUCAGUUCGGAUUGCACUCUGCAACUCGAGUGCAUGAAGCUGGAAUUACUAGUAAUCGUGGAUCAGCGUGCCACGGUGAAUGCGUUCCCGGGUCUUGUACACACCGCCCGUCACACCAUGGGAGUUGGUUCUACCUUAAGGCAAGGUUUAAUACCCUUGACCACGGUAUAGUCAGCGACUGGGGUGAAGUCGUAACAAGGUAGCCGUAGGGGAACCUGCGGCUGGAUUACCUCCUUU